GGAGGGGUGGCUGAGUGGUUAAAGGCACCAGUCUGAUAAACUGGCAUACCUCUUAGUAGGAGGUAUCGUGGGUUCGAAUCCCACUCCCUAUU
Molecule: transfer RNA, 92 nt
Filed under: Acetobacter pasteurianus
Lineage: Bacteria; Pseudomonadati; Pseudomonadota; Alphaproteobacteria; Acetobacterales; Acetobacteraceae
Also listed under: 2 other names
Description: tRNA-Ile
Rfam family: tRNA
About the family: Transfer RNA (tRNA) molecules are approximately 80 nucleotides in length.
Source: RNAcentral